This 477-nucleotide ribosomal RNA is filed under the name uncultured bacterium. RNAcentral describes it as "bacterial SSU rRNA". It matches the Rfam family "Bacterial small subunit ribosomal RNA", at positions 38 to 524 of the family's 1533-position model. The record is from RNAcentral.
GGCGGCGUGCUUAACACAUGCAAGUCGAACGCUGAAGCACCAGCUUGCUGGUGUGGAUGAGUGGCGAACGGGUGAGUAAUACGUGAGUAACCUGCCCUUGACUCUGGGAUAAGCCCGGGAAACUGGGUCUAAUACUGGAUGCUACAUGUCACCGCAUGGUGGUGUGUGGAAAGGGUUUACUGGUCUUGGAUGGGCUCACGGCCUAUCAGCUUGUUGGUGAGGUAAUGGCUCACCAAGGCGACGACGGGUAGCCGGCCUGAGAGGGUGACCGGCCACACUGGGACUGAGACACGGCCCAGACUCCUACGGGAGGCAGCAGUGGGGAAUAUUGCACAAUGGGCGAAAGCCUGAUGCAGCGACGCCGCGUGAGGGAUGACGGCCUUCGGGUUGUAAACCUCUUUCAGCAGGGAAGAAGCCACAAGUGACGGUACCUGCAGAAGAAGCGCCGGCUAACUACGUGCCAGCAGCCGCGGUAAU